CAGGACCAAACCGAGGUUCAGUCCCUGGAAGUCAAGAAGCUUUUUGAAGAAUACAACAAAAUGAUGUUCCUGCUGUCCAAGCAGUUCACCCAGUGGGACGAGACCCUGAGGAAGAUGGAGGAGGCCAAGGGCAUCCGGCCUGUGGAGUAGUUACUGUCAACACGCACUUCUGAUGAGGAUGGUGACGGUGAAGCAGACUACACUGUGGUGGGAGCUUCACACCUGACGAGUGUUCUAUAUGUAGCUUGUUCUUCCCCAAUGUGUCAGAACAAAAUGAGACUAAAGGAAUCCAACAUUU
Molecule: long non-coding RNA, 298 nt
Organism: Seriola dumerili (greater amberjack)
Lineage: Eukaryota; Metazoa; Chordata; Actinopteri; Carangiformes; Carangidae
Exons: 2
Source: RefSeq, a predicted model, not a curated record